UGGGGGAUAUUGCACAAUGGGCGAAAGCCUGAUGCAGCGACGCCGCGUGGGGGAUGAAGGCUUUCGGGUUGUAAACCUCUUUCGCUAUCGAACAAGGCCCGCUUAGGGUGGGUUGAGGGUAGGUGGAGAAGAAGCGCCGGCUAACUACGUGCCAGCAGCCGCGGUAAUACGUAGGGCGCGAGCGUUGCCCGGAAUUAUUGGGCGUAAAGGGCUUGUAGGCGGCUUGUUGCGCCUGCUGUGAAAACGCGGGGCUUAACUUCGCGCGUGCAGUGGGUACGGGCAGGCUUGAGUGUGGUAGGGGUGACUGGAAUUCCAGGUGUAGCGGUGGAAUGCGCAGAUAUCUGGAGGAACACCGAUGGCGAAGGCAGGUCACUGGGCCAUUACUGACGCUGAGGAGCGAAAGCAUGGGUAGCGAACAGG
Molecule: ribosomal RNA, 420 nt
Filed under: bacterium
Lineage: Bacteria
Description: partial 16S ribosomal RNA
Rfam family: Bacterial small subunit ribosomal RNA
Source: RNAcentral